Pocillopora verrucosa is the source of this 779-nucleotide long non-coding RNA. RefSeq lists it as uncharacterized. Lineage: Eukaryota; Metazoa; Cnidaria; Anthozoa; Scleractinia; Pocilloporidae. The record is from RefSeq and is a predicted model, not a curated record.
CAAUACCUACUCUGUGUACUCACUUAUCACAGCUUAUUUGAAAGUACAGGAAAUUUCGAUCAAGUGGGAGAAAUGAAAUCCAUUCUCAGUAACGACUUGAUGAAGCUAUCUAUGCCGAAUCUGCGCCAAGAGGAUGGAAGGCCUUCAUGUUGUGGAAAGUAAAGCGAGUAGAGCAGGCUGGUGAUACAGACAUCCUCUGAAGUUCUGCCACUCCUGGUUUGUGACUUUCCUUGUGAAUAAGUCCAACCAUUCCCACAACUUUACCAUUCCACUCAGCCACCCACAUGCGACAAUUUUCACUAGACAUGUAGCAUCUAUCGAUGUCCUUCAGGUCCGUUGCCAAACAAGAAUCGAUGAAGUUCCAGCAUUCCAUAUACAGCAUUGAAUACAACGAGGCCGCCAAUACGACGCAAGCAAUCAUAUAGAGGAGAAAAAAGCUUACGAUCCACUUGAUUGCGAGGGCAAGAACGAGAACAACGACGCUGCAUGUCGAUAGAAUCCAGAUAUAUUUCGGGAAAACAACGCGUGCUACUAGGCUGAUCAACUGUUCCAUUCCAUGGGUAAAAAUCUCUCGGCAGACGUGAAGGUCUGUGUUUUUGAAUUUCCUAAUCAGGACUUCAUUACCACUUCUAGGUAAAGCGAAAGAUUGCAGCUGUGCAUUCAUCUUACCAGUGAGCAUAAGUUGGUGAUGUCUAUCAGUCUAUUAAAGAGACAAGACAGCAGUUGGUGAAAGUUAAAGUCGACCAUCUACCUACUGGUAACGUUAGAGUAACUCCAAC